Molecule: ribosomal RNA, 443 nt
Filed under: uncultured bacterium
Lineage: Bacteria
Description: partial 16S ribosomal RNA
Rfam family: Bacterial small subunit ribosomal RNA
Source: RNAcentral
CCUACGGGAGGCAGCAGUGGGGAAUAUUGGGCAAUGGGCGCAAGCCUGACCCAGCAACGCCGCGUGAAGGAAGAAGGCUUUCGGGUUGUAAACUUCUUUUCUCAGGGACGAAGAAAGUGACGGUACCUGAGGAAUAAGGAUCGGCUAACUCCGUGCCAGCAGCCGCGGUAAUACGGAGGAUUCGAGCGUUAUCCGGAUUUAUUGGGUUUAAAGGGUGCGUAGGCUGUCGGAUAAGUUAGAGGUCAAAUGUCGGGGCUUAACCCCGUGCCUGCCUCUGAUACUGUUCGACUAGAGAGCGGAUGCAGCAGGCGGAAUGAGUAGUGUAGCGGUGAAAUGCUUAGAGAUCAUACAGAACACCGAUUGCGAAGGCAGCUUACCAAGCUACUUCUGACGUUGAGGCACGAAAGCGUGGGGAGCAAACAGGAUUAGAUACCCCAGUAGUC